Molecule: ribosomal RNA, 493 nt
Filed under: uncultured bacterium
Lineage: Bacteria
Description: partial 16S ribosomal RNA
Rfam family: Bacterial small subunit ribosomal RNA
Source: RNAcentral
GACGAACGCUGGCGGCGUGCUUAACACAUGCAAGUCGAACGGAAAGGCCUGCUUUCCCUUGUGGAUUGCGGGUACUCGAGUGGCGAACGGGUGAGUAACACGUGAGUGAUCUGCCCCCAACUUGGGUAUAAGCCUGGGAAACUGGGUCUAUUCCCGAUAGGACUGCAGGGUGGUGACUGUGGUGGAAAACGAUGUUCUAGUGGUUGGGGAUGAGCUCGCGGCCUAUCAGCUUGUUGGUGGGGUAAUGGCCUACCAAGGCGGCGACGGGAAGCCGGCCUGAGAGGGUCGACGGCCGCAUUGGGACGGGGUCCCGGCCCAGACGCCUGCGGGAGGCAGCAGUGGGGAAUAUUGGAGAAUGGGCGUAAGCCUGAUGCAGCGACGCAGCGUGGGGGAUGACGGCCCUCGGGUUGUAAGCUCCUUUCGACCGCGAGGAAGCCACCUGGUUGGAAGGGUGGUGACGGUAGUGGUAGAAGAAGCACCGGCUAACUACGUG